This 365-nucleotide unclassified non-coding RNA is filed under the name Hevea brasiliensis (rubber tree). The record is from RNAcentral. Lineage: Eukaryota; Viridiplantae; Streptophyta; Magnoliopsida; Malpighiales; Euphorbiaceae.
GGUCCCUACGGGAUCGGGAAAUUUUGCCAUCUCUGUAGUGUGGUCAAAAUGACGCUCACAACCAGAAGCGGAUAGAUGAGGAAUUAUUAGAGCAGAACAAGUAAACUCUGGAGCUGAAAAGAACUUCAUGUGUUUUGCGCAUUCUUUCAUAGUUGCAGACAAGAAGGGUGUGUUGCAGGUGAAAUGGAUGUUGCAUUUCUCAUGGUAUCUCAAGACAGUAGGAUUUGUGAAGGAAGAAUUCACAAUCAACGAUGGCUACCUUGUUGCUUCUAGCAUUUAGAGUCACCGCUCAUUGCUGGAGAAGGUCGAAGGCUGACCCGUGUUGAUCCUUUGGCCAAAGGGGAAGAACGGACAGGGAGAGGGCA